This 511-nucleotide ribosomal RNA is filed under the name Rhyacophila verecunda. Its description in RNAcentral is "partial 12S ribosomal RNA". The record is from RNAcentral. Lineage: Eukaryota; Metazoa; Arthropoda; Insecta; Trichoptera; Rhyacophilidae.
AACAAUUAAUAAAUUAAAUAAAAUUAUUUUAUAAAUAAUUUUUUUGUUUAAUUAAAAUGAAAUAAAUAAAUAUUAAGUGAAAUUUUAUUUAUUUAAUAAUUUUAAUUAAAUUUAAUUUUUAUUUUAUUAAAUUUAAAUUUUAAAAUAGGAUUAGAUACCCUAUUAUUUAUAAAUAAAUAUAAAAAUUAAAUUAUUAAACGAUUAAGUUGAAAUUUAAAGAAUAUGGCAGUAUUAUAAUCAAUUUAGAGGAACCUGUUUAUUAAAUGAUAAUCCACGAUUAAUUCAACUUAAUUUAAUUUAUUUUAUAUAUCGUCGUUAAAAGUUUUUUUUAAGAAAAAAUAAAAUUUUAUAUUUUAAAUUAAAAUUAAAUCAGAUCAAGAUGUAAAUAAUAGUUAAGAUAAAAUGGGUUAUAAUAAAUUAAUUUUUGGAUAAAUAAUUGAAAUAUUAUUUUAAAUUUAGAUUUAAAUGUAAUUUAUUUAAUUUAAAUUAAAUGAUUUUAAGUUUUAUGAUA